Homo sapiens (human) is the source of this 2139-nucleotide long non-coding RNA. NCBI's taxonomy places the organism in Eukaryota, Metazoa, Chordata, Mammalia, Primates, Hominidae. The record is from Ensembl.
AGAACACAGAACUUCACACCGCCUGCUCGGGCCUGGAGUCCCCCCCCGCCGACCCAUGGGGAGGGCGCAAGGCGCCUUUCAGGGAAGGUGUCUUCGAAAAUGGUCGAGGGGUGAGAGCACUGUGACCCGUCCCUGCCGGGGAUCCUGUGGUGGGACAGCCAGGAUUGGGUCCCUAGCCCGGGGGAGGCAGAAUCUGGGUAAUGGAAGGGAGAAUGGGCUCGCUAUCUGCCCAGAGCUUCCCUGGACUGCAGGAACCCGUCCUAUAAGCAACCCCGAAACUUCGGGGCCCGAGGACCAGGGAAGACCCCCUUUCCUUGCUGUCUUGACAGGGUUGCAGAAGCCAAGGAGUUCGGCAGGGAGACGGGGCUCCUGGGGUGGUUAAGGACGCGGUGACCACCCCUGGGCGGGAGCUGACUCCCGCGGGCCCGGAGGCUCUAGCUCACUCUACAGCAAAUGCUUUUGUUCCCGGAGGCUGCCCUGGGGGAAAGACGCCCCUUACCCCUGCCUUCGACCCUGGAGAGCCCAGUGCCCGCCCGGGCAGGGCUGGAGCCCGAGUCGCCCCAGGCAGAGUCCGCCGAGGCCUGGGGUGGGAGCCGCGACUUCUGGAUCUGCCUCCGAGCUCAGCUAGAAGACUGCGCGCACCUCGUCCGGCGCCGUCCGGCGCGCAGAAGCGGGUCUAAUGUUUAUAACGUUAAUAAUGACAGUUAGGGAGGGCUGUGGAGCCGGGAACCAAGACCUCAUCCCGCCGCCGCCCACGUCUUUGAUCAUUAAAGAAACAGACAACUAAUCAGGGCCCAAGCCUGGUCCGCGCGCGCCCCCUGCUGGAAGCCGCUUGCCGGGCGCAGAGGCGGGUCAACGGCAGAGGGUGCUGGCUGGGCGAGGAAGAUGUGGCUGGAACCCUGCACCAAGGCGACCGCUGCUCACGGCUCUGCAGUCCCGCGGCGCGAUACGCCAGUGGGGCGCGCUUAACCAAAGUCCCGAGGCUUUACUUCCCGUGCCCACCCAGUCUAUGUCCCAGGUAUCAGCAACCUCUGGUCCACUACACAACACAGGCGCUGUCCCUACUUCGCGCUGCGUAGUUUCCAGUGCCCAGGGCGUCUCCUAAUUCUUGAGCGACUAGUCCCUGGCACAAAACCUUCCUAUACACCUCUCCCACUCUCCCUUCUCUCUGAGUCUUAUGACUUUGUCAGGGGCCUAUUAAAAUAAAUGUCUGAGAUCUGGAAAAAAAAAUCUGUUGGCGCUAACAGGGGCAAAGAAAACUGCAAAAUUGGAAGUAAUCGAUGUUUGAUUGAAUGUUUAAGACAUGCGACAUUGUGCAAACGAUUCUGUUGCAACUGCACUCAGAGUUGUACUUGCCCUUGUAUUUUAAUGUGGCACGCGGAGGAUUUAAUGGACUUGCCUAAAGAUGUGGGAAGGGCCUCUGAGAAUAAGAAAGCCGGGGCCCAGAUGGGCAUCAAACAUCCCCAGCAUAGCAGCCGGUUAAGGCUGCGGAGACCUUCCCCAAGGCUGCCCUCCAGUCAGAAGCCCCUGAACACUCACUACUUCCCAUCUUUCAGCUUCUGCGCGCACAGACACACACACACACACACACACACACACACACACACACACACACACACACACACACAAAUGUUCUCUCCAGCCCCACACCCUCAAGAAGCUGCUUUCCUUUUCUAAUUUCCAGUCGAAAGAUCACUCCUCAGGGAAGCCAGGCCCUGUUUAUACUCCCUCCUCCGGCCUUUCCUUGUACAGGUUCUAUGUAGUCGUCAGGCGGGCAGGUCCUAGCGUCAGACUCCAUUAUGUACUGACUGUGUGUCCUUAGCCAAGCUAUUUAACCUCUCUGUGCCUCAAGAAAAAAAGGCAUAAAUAAGAGUACUGACCAGGCGCGGUGGCUCACACCUGUAAUAAUCCCAGCACUUUGGGAGGCCCAGGCGGGCGGAUCACAAGGUCAGGAGUUCGAGACCAGCCUGACCAACAUGGUGAAACCUCGUCUCUGCUAAAAAUACAAAAAUUAGCCGGGCGUGGUGGUGCAUGCCUGUAAUCCCAGCUACUCAGGAGGCUGAGGCAGGAGAAUCUCGGGAGGCAGAGGUUGCAGUGAGCCGAGAUAGUGCCACUGCAUUCCGGCCUGGGCGACAGAGC